AUCCAGCAUGUUUGAUUCUACCAUAUUUUUUGAAUUCAGAGUUCUGUUUACCAAACUGUCAUGGCAUUUUUAUUAAGUGAACCCGUUCCUCUGUUUCUAUAUACAUAAGGAACAUUGAUUCUAUUACAUUAAUACUUUAUUCAUUUGUAAUGUAUGAUGUUUUGGAUAUCAACGAUUCAACGCAGUCCUCACAAUGCAUCUUUCACAUUUAAAAUCAAAAUGAUAUUUAAAAAUGUAAAUUAUUUUUCACGAUAAAAUCAAAUGGUACUUGCGGGGGUGGGGGGCGACCUGCCAUGGAAAUUAUCCAUUGUGGUCUUCAGGUGGGAUUUGCGGGGGUGGGGGUUGACAUUUUUAAUUUUUUGGGGGGGGGGGUGCACAUGAUGCCAACAGGAAGGAGGGGCGGUUACGGCUGGACAAAAAUGUUGUUGAGCUGCCUCGAUGGCUCAUUAAAAAAUGCUCUGAUUGAACUCAAUUUUCUUAUAAAAUGAAAAUGAAUUGUUUUCGAGUGAUUUCGGCUUGCCUCGUUACCCUCGCCUUGAAGUUGGGUAUCAAACAAUUCAGGAGACUGAUAAAUAAGAUUAUCCAAUUUUGAAGAAAUCUCGAGAAGGUGGAGAAGCCAAAACACCCCUAGAGGCCCUAUUCCCUCGUAGUCUCUCCAGACGCCCGGAGGUUCAGAAGUUGGAUUCAACUCCAGGGCUCUGCACUGUUGUCCAGGACCAAUGUAUCAUAACAGCCCUCCAACUGCUCUUGUCCCGUGCCCAUGCCUUCAGUUCAGAGCUUUGCUGACUUCUCCCUUCAGCAAAAUGAGUCCUAUGGCUUGCUCUUCGUUCCCUCCGGUGAUGGCUGCUGUUUUUGGUAGAGGAGUCAAAACUCUUCUUGCAGUUGUAGAUAUGAGAUGCAUGCACAUUGGGUAACGACUGCCGUACAAGCCCUUAGGUGCAUGCGUGCAAGCGAGCCUUCUGAUCCGUUAGAUCAUGAUCCAACCAUAGAUGCAAACCGUAGUUUGUUACCUUUUUUUUAUAAAGCUGCGUGGGCUGGUGGUGGAAGGGUUUAAGUGUUAAAUGUAACAUACAAUUGGAUUAUAUGAUCUAACGGACCGCAAGGCUAGCUUGCAUGCUUGCAUCUAAGGUCUGCUUGCACAACAGUUGUUGCCUGCACAUUGUAGCCUGUUUGAGAUUCUGGGCUGAAGCACAUCAGAGAAAUGAUGCCAAAUGCAGGGGCAUGGCUAGGCUAGCCGCGAGGCAGGGCUGUCACUAGCAGGUUCCCACGGGGAGCUGGCUGCUGCAUGAUCUUAAGGGCUUGUUUGGCAGGGCUCUUUGAGCAGCUUCCUGGACAAGUCUAGGACGAGUUCUGCCAAGUAGUUUUCAAUUGAUUCUAUACUGAUUUUGUGAAGUGAUCUCUAAAAUGAGCUAGGCGCUAGGAGCUGAAAGUAGUGUCUCCUGAUUCACUGCACACAGAGUCACUAAACUAACUAUAAGCAUAAAGGUUAUCAUAGAGAAAAUAUUUCAGUCAGGGAAUCACUUCUCUUAGGCCUUGUUUGUUUCCCUUCAUUUUGAGGAAUUGGAAUCUAACCAAUGGAGUAGGCUAUUUUUUUAGAAUGUGACAUUCCACAACUUUCCAAAGUUUAUAUAUAAGCCUAUGUCAAAUUCAUAGGGUAAGAUAUGGAAAUUCAUUAUAUAGAUUUACAUGCUACUUUUCUAAUGUACAACUAUAUUGUCACACUCUUAUACUUGCUUCUCUAUAGCAUAAGUGUAGUGUAUAACUAUCUCUCUCAUAUGAUUUAUGAUAAUAUACAAAUAUAAAUAUAUUAACUUAAUUAGUUUGUGUCUAAAUUAUGAUUAUUAGAAUGUAAUUCAAUUCCAACGAAACAAAUGGGGCCUUAGAGAAUUAGCUUCCACGGUGAAUCUAGAGCAGGAGCUCUACCAAAUAGGUCCUAAAUCACUCUUUCAUCUUCCUCAUCUCCAGUCCCAAGGUUCAUGAGUUGGGUUUGACUGGUCCAUGUUAGACAACAAUAUUCAUUGCCUUGUAUAUAGGCGUGAUGCCUGGCUUCUUUAAGCAGCCGGCCAGCCUUGUAUAGCAGGUUAGGAUAGAGAGAGAUUUGGGGAAGAGUCCAGGAUGGUAAGGAUCAAUUAGGGUCCUUCUGUUUCCUUGUCUAGGAGGUUUCCUUUUACCUCCGGCUCUUCCCCUAUAUAUGUAACAGCACUCUUCUCUAUCAAUACACACACAAUUCCUGCAUUCUACUUUACUUACAUGGUAUCAGAGCCUAGUUUUUCUUCCUGCCGCUUCCGCUUCCAGUGCGCUGUUCUUCGGCGCUGCUCCAGCGCGCCUUCUCUUGGCGCUGCUCCAUGGCCGCUAUCACCUCAGGCAUCGAAUCCAAUCCCCUUGCUGUCCCACAAGAGGAUGAUGCCGUCCAAGACCGCGAGCGCCAAGCCCAGGUCGCUCGCGCCGUCGACGCCGAGCGAGAGGCCGCCGUCGCCCAGCAGGAACGCGACGCGACGGAUGCUCGCGUGCGUGCGGCCCUGGAACGUGUCGCCUCCCCCCAGUGACGACUCCUCCCAUGGAGAUCCCGACGGUGACAUCCAAGACGGUGGUGCCUCCAUCUGGACGCAGCACUGCUACAUCAUGAGGCUGCAACCCUGCUGAAUCUACAUGCCCAGGCAGUGGCUGUGCAGAACAUUUGCACCCUCACCCCGCUCCUCCUCGACGCCAACUCCACAUUCUACGCCCGAUGGUGCGAUACCUUCUCACCCUCACCAAGGUCUCCCUGGAAGGUCAUGUUCUCUCCGAUAUCACUGCAUAUACCUCCCCCGAUUUGGUUCGCAUGAACGCCGUCGUCCGUACUUGGAUCCUCAACACCAUCUCCGACGACCUCGCCGACGCUGUAUCCCAGCGCGGCGUCACAGAUCGCGUCCUGUGGCUCUCUAUCGAAUCACAAUUCCUAGGGAACCGCACCACCCGUGCUCUCUACGCCGACCAAGAGUUCCGCUCCUCCCAGGGCGACCUUCCUGUUGCCGAAUACUGCCGUCGCUACAAAAAGCUUGCCGAGGAUCUUCGCGACCUUGGCAAGCCCGUCUCCGAUAGAACGCUUGUCCUCAACAUCAUCCGAGGUCUUAACGAGCACUUCCUUGUGCUGGGUCUGCAUCUUCGUCGCACAUACCCCCUGCCCAGUUUCCUGCAGGUCCGCGACGAUCUUGCUCUUGAGGAGCUCACCAUGGCGAAGGCUCCACCUGCUGCUGCCCUUGCUGCGCUCACUGCACCUGGCAGCAUGGGCAGCACCACUUCUCCUGCGCCCUCCACCGGCACUCCUCGUCAUUCCCAGCAGCCGGCCACUCAGCUGCCGGCGCCCUCACAACCCUCUGGGGGAGGCUCCGGCGGCCGCUACAACUCCAACCAGCGCGGCAAGAGGGGCAAACGCAAUUGUGGUAGGCACUCCACCACCACCCGCGCCGACGCUGGACCUCCCACUGGCCAGGUGUCCCAAUACAGCUACUACAACCCAUCAGGGGCUAUCUACAUGUGGCUGGGUCAGCGACCACCUACCACGCCUCGUCCACCCCAUGGCGUGCCCUCGUCUCCACAGGCUCUGCUGGCCGGUCCCCCUAGUCAGUGGACCGUUCUUUGCCUAUGUUCGCACCCUCAAAUCAGACACUUUGUCCACCCUCACCACUUUCUUUGCCUAUGUUCGCACUCAGUUCGGAAUCACCAUUCAGGGUAUUCAGUUGGACAACGACCGUGAGUUCGACAACCUACGUGCCCGCACAUUUUUUCCUCGCACGACAUUCACCUUCGUAUGUCAUGCCCAGAAUGGCAAAGCCGAACGCAUCAUACGAUCCAUAAACAAUGUCGUUCGUUCCCUUCUUUUCCACGCUAGUGUUCCCCCGUCUUUUGGGCCGCAGCUCUAGGCACUGCCACCUAUCUCAUAAACAUCCUACCCACCAAAACCCUCAACCAUUCCACGCCUCACUUCUAUCUAUUUGGAAAACAUCCUUCAUAUGAGCACUCCGUGUUUUUGGUUGCACCUGUUAUCCCAACCUGUCAGCCACUGCCCCCCACAAACUUUCUCCCCGCUCCACCCUCUACGUUUUUCUCGGGUAUUCCCCUCACCACAAGGGCUACCUUUGUCUCGAUCGUCAAACCAAUCGCAUAAUCAUCUCACGCCACGUGGUCUUCGAUGAAGCCUCUUUUCUCUUCUCCAAGGCUUCUUCCCCUCCCAUGCGUGCUGCACUUGAUUUCCUAGACGACGUGCCUAACACGGUCUCAGUUCCCUUUGAACUGUCAUCGGUUUUUUCUUCUACAGGUACUGCUGCAACAAAGGACCGUUCACCUGGCGAACCACCUGUGGCUGUCCCGGACUACUCACCACAGUCUCUUGGACAGCCACGUGCGCUUCAGCAGGCUUCCUCACCUUCACCAGCAGCCUUGGCGUCUCCUGCUGCUGACCCAGCAGUUUCGAGGCUUCACGCUGCUAGACCGGCAGCCCUAGCGCUCCCUGAUGCUACAGGGACUCGCGUCGUGCAGCCGGUUGCCCCCAGGGCGAUCACCGUCGACCGUUUCGGAGGCCAGGUGUACUCUCGCCGUCGACCUCCUACUGCAGCGUCUCCCUCACCUGCAGCACAGGCGUCAGAUGCUGCUGGGCCUCCUGAUGAUCCAGGAACUACUCCAACUGUCCCUGUCGGCGCUGUUGUUGUCCCCCUGUGGUCAACCACCACCUUAUGACCACUCGGGGCAAGCGUGGCCUUCGGUUCCCAGCUCUUUUUGAAGCUUCAGCACUGUCUCCAAUUCCUCGCAGCUAUCGCGCUGCCUUGGCCGAUCCCCACUGGCGCGCUGCUAUGGAACAGGAGUAUGCAGCUCUGAUUGGAAACAACACCUGGGAUCUCGUUCCUCGGCCACCUCAUUCCAAUGUUGUGACAGACAAGUGGAUAUUCAAGCAUAAGUUCAACGCCGAUGGUUCUCUUGAACGGUAUAAGGCACGCUGGGUCCUUCGCGGGUUCACUCAACGCCCUGGCAUCGACUUCUCUGAGACUUUUAGUCCUAUGGUCAAACCUGCUAUAGUUCAGACAGUCCUCUCAUUGGCUCUCUCACGUGGUUGGCCUAUUCAUCAGUUGGAUGUCAAUAAUGCCUUUCUUCACGGCACGCUGUCCGAAACUGUCAUCUGUGCUCAGCCCACUGGUUUCGAAGACUCCACUCAUCCAGAUUAUGUAUGCCGUCUCAACCGCUCUCUUUAUGGACUCAAGCAAGCCCCUCGUGCAUGGUACAACAGAUUUGCUUCUCACCUUCUGCAGCUCGAUUUCAUUGAGGCCAAAACAGACACGUCCCUGUUUGUCUAUCACAAGGGUGCAAACAUGGCCUAUCUUCUGUAUGUGGAUGAUAUUGUGCUUAUUGCCUCCUCCCUGCCAACACUACGACGAAUCAUCAAUGCCCUCCAACAAGAAUUUCCUAUGAAGGAUCUUGGUAGACUUCACCAUUUCCUCGGCAUGCAUGUUCAGCACUCUACCUCAGGCAUCUAUCUGUCCCAAAAUCAGUACAUGAUUGAGAUUCUUGAACGAGCUGGUAUGAGUGAUUGCAAGCCAUGCACUACACCAUUUGAUGUGAACCCCAAGCUCCCCUCUGAUGGCGCUCCAGUUUCAAAUCCCACUGAUUACCGCAGUCUUGCAGGAGCUCUUCAGUACCUUACAUUCACCCGUCCAGACAUUGCGUAUGCUGUUCAGCAGGUUUGUCUCCACAUGCAUGAUCCACGGGAAUCACACUUGGCUGCCCUCAAACGCAUCCUACGAUACAUCAGAGGCACUUUGCAUUUGGGGCUGUUCCUUCGCCCAACUUCUCAAACUGAGUUGAUCGUUUACUCUGAUGCUGAUUGGGCGGGCUCCGUCCGGACACCCGCCGAUCCACAUCUGGCUAUGCUGUCUUCUUCGGCGACAACCUGGUCUUCCAAGCGCCAGAACAUGGUUUCUCGCUCCAGUGCUGAAGCAGAAUACCGUGCUGUUGCUAAUGCCGUUGCUGAAGCUACCUGGCUUCGACAGCUCUUGACUGAAUUGCAUGCUCCUCUGCCGAAGACGACCUUGGUAUAUUGUGACAACAUCAGUUCUGUCUACAUGUUCUCCAACCCCGUUCAGCAUCAGCGCACCAAACAUGUGGAGAUGGACAUUCACUUCGUUCGGGAACAUGUUGCUCUUGGCAAUGUCCGUGUCCUCCAUGUGCCGACAACUUCACAGUAUGCUGACGUCUUCACUAAGGGUCUGCCGUCUUCGGUGUUCACUGAUUUUCGGACCAGCCUCAACGUUCGCUCAACGGACGUAUUGACUACGGGGGGAUGUUAGACAGCAAUAUUCAUUGCCUUGUAUAUGGGCGUGAUGCCUGGCUUCUUUAAGCAGCCGGCCAGCCUUGUAUAGCAGGUUAGGAUAGAGAGAGAUUUGGGGAAGAGUCCAUGAUGGUAAGGAUCAAUUAGGGUCCUUCUGUUUCCUUGUCUAGAAGGUUUCCUUUCACCUCUUGCUCUUCCCCUAUAUAUGUAACAGCACUCUUCUCUAUCAAUACACACACAAUUCCUGCAUUCUACUUUACUUACAGUCCAGUUGCAUGCAUGCAGUAGUAGGUACAUCAACUCUUCACAUGCGAUACGAAAAACCAAACAAAGAUCGUAACCGCUCAUUCGAGCUCUGGUUAGUGUCAUCUGAUUCCAUUUCCAUUUUUGUGACUUAAACGUCACCAAACACCAUCUUAGCGGCCAAAGUUUUAGCAUUUAGAUUGCAUGGUUUCUAAGCAUAAUUUAUUCACUAACGCAGGACAUAAUUGUUAAGCUUAUGCAUUACAACACAAGCCAGUGUGUUUGGUUGUCCUGUAUAAGCAAGAUGUGUUUGGCUGCUAGGCGAAAUGGCCUUUAGCUGAGUUGGUUAGUUGGUCUUAGAAGCACUCAUGUUCUGAGUUCGAUUCCUCGUAGGAGCGAAUUUCAGACUGUGGUUAAAAAAUCACCUCGUCUGUCCCACGUCAAAGCAUAGGUCUAAGGCCCGGUCCCGGUCGUUUCUCACAUGGACUACAGUGCCGCUGUGUUGUAGGUUUGUCUCUUAUGUUCCAGUAAAGGUUUCAUGUUUUUAGUAGAGGUGGGGAAGGGGACAAUAUUUUAUUUUUGUAUGUCCAUUGGCUUGUGCAAAUCUGCAUUUCUCAGAAACACCAAAUGUGCCGUGCAAGGCUGCACAAGACUCUGGGCAACCAAACACAGGUUGGCUGCAUUGCACUAGCCUAGAUACAGGAUAAGAACGUUGUGACAGUGUUCAGCGCGCCUAACUAUUGCUACCGAUGCGGGAACAUGGCUGCGAUCCUCGAAAUUGGCGAGAACAUGGAUCAGAACUUCCUCCAAUUCGACCCAGCUCCGCGGCAGAUUGAGCCGGACAUGACGCGCAAGACCCCAGACUACUUUUUGUAAUCAGCAUGCUGGCUUUCUUUCAACUUGUCUACUGCAGCGCCAGCACCUGUAGAUCUCCUUAGAAAAUGGUGUUUCCUCUAGCCGCCUUGUACCCCCAUCAUUCUUUUGGUGUGGAGAUUUUAUUGCCGCUUCUCAGAACAUUGAGGUUGUUGAAAGUACAUGGCAUUGGGUCUUCCUUUUUUUUUGCCGUCUUGUAUCUCCAUUUUGUAUGAUUCUGAGACAAAAGAGAAGAGAAGCUGCAAUAGAAUUGUCUCGAAAUA
RNA transcript from Zea mays, 7677 nucleotides. It is a transcript of the gene named putative serine/threonine protein phosphatase superfamily protein, with no coding region annotated. Lineage: Eukaryota; Viridiplantae; Streptophyta; Magnoliopsida; Poales; Poaceae. The transcript is spliced from 2 exons. The record is from RefSeq and is marked provisional.